UACCAGCACCCCGAGUGGUCGGGACGAUUAUUGGGCCUAAAGCAUCCGUAGCCGGUUCUACAAGUCUUCCGUUAAAUCCACCUGCUCAACCGUUGGGCUGCGGAGGAUACUAUAGAGCUAGGAGGCGGGAGAGGCAAGCGGUACUUAGUGGGUAGGGGUAAAAUCCGUUGAUCCAUUGAAGACCACCAGUGGCGAAGGCGGCUUGCCAGAACGCACUCGACGGUGAGGGAUGAAAGCUGGGGGAGCAAACGGG
Molecule: ribosomal RNA, 253 nt
Filed under: uncultured bacterium
Lineage: Bacteria
Description: partial 16S ribosomal RNA
Rfam family: Archaeal small subunit ribosomal RNA
Source: RNAcentral